UGGGGAAUUUUGGACAAUGGGCGCAAGCCUGAUCCAGCCAUACCGCGUGAGUGAAGAAGGCCUUCGGGUUGUAAAGCUCUUUCAGACGGAAAGAAACGGUCGCGGCCAAUACCCGCGACUAAUGACGGUACCGUAAGAAGAAGCACCGGCUAACUACGUGCCAGCAGCCGCGGUAAUACGUAGGGUGCGAGCGUUAAUCGGAAUUACUGGGCGUAAAGCGUGCGCAGGCGGUUUGGUAAGACAGAUGUGAAAUCCCCGGGCUUAACCUGGGAACUGCAUUUGUGACUGCCAGACUAGAGUGUAGCAGAGGGGGGUAGAAUUCCACGUGUAGCAGUGAAAUGCGUAGAUAUGUGGAGGAAUACCGAUGGCGAAGGCAGCGCACUGGCCAAAAUCUGACGCUCACACACGAAAGCUAGGGUAGCGAAGAGGAUUAGAUACCCCUGUAGUCCCUGAGCGGGCUGGCAAGGCGCAU
RNAcentral lists this ribosomal RNA (472 nucleotides) under uncultured bacterium. Its description in RNAcentral is "bacterial SSU rRNA". It matches the Rfam family "Bacterial small subunit ribosomal RNA", at positions 355 to 825 of the family's 1533-position model. The record is from RNAcentral.